RNAcentral lists this ribosomal RNA (232 nucleotides) under uncultured bacterium. RNAcentral describes it as "partial 16S ribosomal RNA". It matches the Rfam family "Bacterial small subunit ribosomal RNA", at positions 99 to 334 of the family's 1533-position model. The record is from RNAcentral.
CGGACGGGUGAGUAAUGUCUGGGAAACUGCCCGAUGGAGGGGGAUAACUACUGGAAACGGUAGCUAAUACCGCAUAACGUCGCAAGACCAAAGAGGGGGACCUUCGGGCCUCUUGCCAUCGGAUGUGCCCAGAUGGGAUUAGCUAGUAGGUGGGGUAACGGCUCACCUAGGCGACGAUCCCUAGCUGGUCUGAGAGGAUGACCAGCCACAUUGGAACUGAGACACGGUCCAG